UGCUCUACAGAAAGAUAUUAGCUACAGUUUUCAGCUUUCAUAUUUCAGAUUAAGAGUGAGUCCUUUCUACACUUAGAUAGUAUGAUUUAAAGAGAGAAUACAAGUACAACUUUUAGAACUAAAUGUUAUGACUCACUAGAUUUAUAAAGUAUGACUUGCUUCUUAUUAUUAAAGAUUUCAGUAUGUGAGUCAUUUUCAUUUAGCAUGCUUUGUUUUACAAAUUAUGAUGAUGAGA
This 235-nucleotide long non-coding RNA is filed under the name Capsicum annuum. Its description in RNAcentral is "long non-coding RNA (CANN_LNC022160)". Lineage: Eukaryota; Viridiplantae; Streptophyta; Magnoliopsida; Solanales; Solanaceae. The record is from RNAcentral.